GAUGAACGCUAGCUACAGGCUUAACACAUGCAAGUCGAGGGGCAGCAUUUUUAUAGCAAUAUAAAAGAUGGCGACCGGCGCACGGGUGAGUAACACGUAUCCAACCUGCCGAUAACUCGGGGAUAACCCUUCGAAAGAAGGCCUAAUACCCGAUGGCAUAUCCCUUCCGCCUGGUUGGGAUAUUAAAGAACUUCGGUUAUCGAUGGGGAUGCGUUCCAUUAGCUGGUUGGUGUGGUAACGGCUCACCAAGGCUACGAUCGGUAGGGGUUCUGAGAGGAAGGUCCCCCACACUGGAACUGAGACACGGUCCAG
RNAcentral lists this ribosomal RNA (312 nucleotides) under uncultured bacterium. RNAcentral describes it as "bacterial SSU rRNA". It matches the Rfam family "Bacterial small subunit ribosomal RNA", at positions 28 to 334 of the family's 1533-position model. The record is from RNAcentral.